UUGUCACAUUACACAGUUGAAGUCUGUUUUUAACUCUUAGCAACAACCUAAAAUGUAUUUUCAUUAGCUGCCCAAAAAAGUUCCUGAAUUCUUUUACUAGAAGGUCAACAAAAUUAGCUUGGGGGAGAAAAGUAAAAUAAUGUCUUGCUGUACUCUUAUGAACUUCAUAAGACGCCAAAACCACCUUGUAAACAUUCAGGGAAAAAGUCAGCUAUAUUUAGGUAUUUCAGGAUGCGAUUGCAUCUCCAAAGACUUUAUUCAUUUCACAUGAUAGGAGAAAGAGUUAAACUAAAACCACAUUCAGUAUCACUUCAGCAAUGCACUGGCUAGUCCAUUCAAAUAAGCAUUACAUGAGCCUUUCAGCACAAGCAGUAAAACAUACAAGAAAAUAAAAAUGGUGCAUUUCUCUUCCCUGCUUACUUUACCAGACCUGAAAGAAUCAAGUCUGAAUGCAAGACAACAGGCACCAAAAUUCUGAAUUUUGUUCCAUCUGAUCAGUUGCAGAACACAUUAUUACACACAUGAAAUAAAAUCUUUCAAAUAUAAGAAAUGUGAAAACUUAAGCCACUUAGUGUAUUAAAAAGUUAUGCAGCAUAUACAUCACCACAUGAUGUUCGAAUUCAAAGUAAGUUUUGUUUCAAUGAGAUGGAAAAGUAUGUCCCAGUGUUUUGCACACAUUGUCAGGCUGCUGUCACGACUAAAUAGGCCUAAAGCCUAAGUUUUAUACAGAGCAUUUAAGCCUGUGCCUUUUCAAAAUAAAAAUUUGGUGAGGUGAAUAAAAUGUGCUAAUGUCAUAGUUUAGAAAACACGUUUUAAAAACAGAGCUGAAACACACAUCUCUCACCCAAGGCAUAAUGAACUACAGUUAGUACUAAUUCGAGGUAUUUCUUAUUCAGGCAAAAAAAAAAAAAAAAAUCAGUUCCAAAGCUAAUACACGUUUGCACAUUACACAGCAUUCUACUACACUACUUUUACUAUUGUUAGACAACUAAUCAGCUGUGUAUUGUUAUGCACAGCAUGACCCAGAGCAGGCGAGGCAGCACCGCACAGCGCUUCUGGUCUCUCUGCAGCAGCACUUGGGUGCAGAAUCCACAGAACGACAUCAACAAGUUACCUGAGAAACUUGGCUAACCUUCUAAAAUAAAACUCAGCAGAGCUUGGCUGCCCACACUAAUCAGUUUAAGGUAAAGUGCACACAAUUCAGCUCCAAUAAGGUUUCUAAAUAUCACAAGUCUUCUGCCAUAAUAAGAUAUUCUAUUAUCCAGAAUUAUUUCAAGUUUUAAUUCAGCCAAGUCCUUCUCAUCUUACUAGUCCAACGUCAGUCAAUUCUACAGAUCAAUUUAGGUAGCUUCAUAAAAACCAGUGUUCACUUAUUUCUUCAUCCCUUCUGUCACAGAGGGAAAACAUUAUGUGAAAUUUCAGGAAUCUAAAUCCAGAUAUCUACAGAUACACAAAGCAUUCUAUGGUCCCACUGUAAGCACACUGAUUUGAAUAUGCACACACAAAAAUGAGGAAAACAAGCAAACAUACAAGCCAAAUGCUAAUGUAUUUCUACCAUAGCUUACAAUCUGCAAAGGUAUUCUCACAAAUAAAUCAUUAGAAAUGCUAGAAUAUUAAGACUGGUUGAGAUGAGUCACAGUGGCAGAGAGACAGACUGCCAUCUCCACUCCAAUCGUUCCAAAGAAGAUCCCAUCCCUCUCACUGAAGGAGUCUUCUCAUUUACUGAUGAUACUCCUCUAAUACUACCAGUGGACCAUGUCAACUACAGAUUUAGAAAAGAAUUAUGGAGGAGAAAAGUAACUAACCAGGGCACUGGGUUAUUUUCCUUCCUAAAUUCCAAGCUGAAUGCCCUCAAUCAAACAAGGCUCAUCUCCAACUGGCCAGCAGUAGUACAAUCCCUUAAUAUCAAGACACAUUGUUCCAUUCUCUCAUUUUUGUUUUGUUAGCUGAAUAAGUACAAAAUUCUAAAAUAUCAUUUUGAAAUUAUGCUCUUUACUGACUAAAAGUGUUCAAAUUACAUCCUUCAUUACAAUGCUUCUAAAUUAUGUAAUUGAAAGACAUGUCAUUUUGUACAUAUUCUAGCAACUAAAUGAAAUAAAUAGUUUAGAAGAGGAACCUCACAGUUCUCCCUCAAAUGCAAAUCCCUUGUUGGAGAGCAGCAAAAAAACACAGAAUAUAUUCUAACAUGUAAGAGUUAGAGAUAAACAUUUAAAACAAUUUUUAAAACAGACAGAUUAUAGGAAAGUUGCUCUGAUACCUUUCAUGCAGGUCAUUUGCACGCUAGCUAGCAAUAAUAAAACAGAAAUACCAAAAUAUAGCUAUCUAGGUCCUAAAAAUGAAAAAACACUUGUAUAAGGAACAAUUGUGUAGACAGUUAACAUAAAGCUUAUAGCCUUCUUUAUGCUACAUUAAAAUUGACCAGGUUGUUAAAAAGGUUCAAAAUAAAUACUGUCAACAUGACCAAUUCCAUACCAAGCCACUUUUUUUUCCCUUACUCCUGUUUAGAAAUUAUUCCUUUUUGUUGUUCCUCUGUACUUCCCAGAACCCCUUUCCCGCACUGUUCCCAAUAAAUUUAGUCUUCGCAUGACUAUGGAACACCAUGGUUUUACACCAAGCAUCUUAAAAGACCCUAUUCUUAAAUUGUCUUUUUUCACCUUCUACAGAACUUCUGUUUCUCAACUCUGAAAUUAAUUACCUGUCAAACAAGUCACUAUGGCUUACUUUUUCUAAGCAAUCCCAUUCUCGUCACCACCUAGCAUCUCAAAAGCAGGUAAAAAAAAUUAUUGGAAGACAUAGCCUCAUAAAUUCAAAAGAAUUUACUGUCUUUCCAGUCUGAAAUAGAACGGUCUCCGAUCCCCAUGACUUGUGCACAGAGCUGGCAAACGCAAAAUCCUCCUUGCAAUAAGAACACAGCUGUACCUUCAAUCUUUUCCUCCUCUGGACAAAAACAACCUCUAGUUUACACAUUAGCGAACAGUUUCUCCUCCCAUUCGCCACACACCUUUAUACACUGCACAACCACUGUAACUAUUUCUACCUUCACCUCCUCCCUCCCCGAACCUCAUUUUUCGGAGGGUACACCACGGACACACUCCUGGGAGGGGGGUUUAUUUGUUUGUUUUUAAGCGCGAUGUCGCUUACCCAACGUGGCUGCCGAGAACCAGGACAAAAGCAUGGGGAGCGGCCGGGUCUACAUUCUUCACCGCCGACCCAAUGCUGCGGAGCAGCGAGACGAUAGGCCAGCGCGCCGAAGUGAAAGGGCGGCAGCACCAAUCACAGCACCCGCUAAGGACCGGGGCGCCCGCCAACCAGAGAGGAGUUGGUGGGCGGGGCGUAAUGAAACGUGGAAGCCUUGAUUGACAGGCCACUGCUCAAUCAGAGAGACGGCGAGGGAAGCGACAGCCAAUCAAAGCCGAGCCUACUGCGAAAGGCGCUCUCGGUCUUGCCCCUCUUCCCAAGCCCUGGCGGCAGCGCAUGCGCACACACGCUCCGGGCGGGCCCGUCCCUCUCUUAGCCGCCGGUGACGCACGUAGCCAGCCCCGCCCCACCACGCAGCGGCGCAUGCGCCAAGGCGCCUGCUCCGGGAGGGCAAGGCUGCGCGCGCCCCGUGCCCCGGGGUUGCCAGGGGCAACGGGCGGGGCCUGCGGGCGGGCCGGGCCCUGCGGCCUCCUCACCCGGCCGGUGCCUGCUCCGCGGGUCCCCGUCCGCCACCCCGGGGCCCCGCAGCCCCCGCCACAGCUCGCCUGCCGCCUGGGGAGGAGAAACCCGCGGGGGAAAGUCCCGCUUUUGCCGCGCAGCGGGUCAAUAAGUGAUCCCUCAUCCUCUCAGAGCUGGAGCGUGCAGAUCAACGCCAGUUCCCACCAGCAAAUAGCCCAGCGACCCCUGUCACCAGCACAGAAACCACCACCACUUCCCCACUAUAUACAUGUAUUAACAUACACACAUGGAAAAAAAUAAAAAUAUAUAUGACUGGCUUUCUGUGAAAAUCCUUGCUGUAUUACCAUGAGGAUGUGAGCUCUGUCUUCACUUCCAGGCUAAGGCCACAAUCCACCUUGGUUCCUCCUCCAUGUGUCCCCACCUCACAUCUCCUUUAGAGUUCCCAUUAAUCGUGCUUGAAGCCAAAAAGACUAC
Molecule: long non-coding RNA, 4131 nt
Organism: Columba livia (rock pigeon)
Lineage: Eukaryota; Metazoa; Chordata; Aves; Columbiformes; Columbidae
Exons: 2
Source: RefSeq, a predicted model, not a curated record